Molecule: ribosomal RNA, 440 nt
Filed under: uncultured bacterium
Lineage: Bacteria
Description: bacterial SSU rRNA
Rfam family: Bacterial small subunit ribosomal RNA
Source: RNAcentral
CCUACGGGAGGCAGCAGUAGGGAAUAUUGGACAAUGGGGGCAACCCUGAUCCAGCAAUGCCGCGUGAGUGAUGAAGGCCUUAGGGUUGUAAAGCUCUUUUACCCGGGAUGAUAAUGACAGUACCGGGAGAAUAAGCCCCGGCUAACUCCGUGCCAGCAGCCGCGGUAAUACGGAGGGGGCUAGCGUUGUUCGGAAUUACUGGGCGUAAAGCGCACGUAGGCGGCGAUUUAAGUCAGAGGUGAAAGCCCGGGGCUCAACCCCGGAACAGCCUUUGAGACUGGAUUGCUUGAACAUCGGAGAGGUGAGUGGAAUUCCGAGUGUAGAGGUGAAAUUCGUAGAUAUUCGGAAGAACACCAGUGGCGAAGGCGGCUCACUGGACGAUUGUUGACGCUGAGGUGCGAAAGCGUGGGGAGCAAACAGGAUUAGAUACCCUAGUAGUC